CCUACGGGUGGCAGCAGUGGGGAAUAUUGGGCAAUGGAGGCAACUCUGACCCAGCAACGCCGCGUGAAUGAUGAAGGUCUUCGGGUUGUAAAGUUCUGUGAUGGGGGAUGAACACAAUGACGGUACCCCAAUAACAAGCCACGGCUAACUACGUGCCAGCAGCCGCGGUAAUACGUAGGUGGCAAGCGUUAUCCGGAAUGACUGGGCGUAAAGGGUGCGUAGGUGGUUUAGUAAGUCAGCGGUGAAAUUUCGGGGCUCAACCCUGGCGCUACCGUCAAAACUAUUAUACUAGAGUGCAGGAGGGGUAAGUGGAAUUCCGAGUGUAGCGGUGAAAUGCGUAGAUAUUAGGAGGAACAGCAGGGGCGAAGGCGAAUUGCUGGACUGUAACUGACACUGAGGCGCGAAAGCGUGGGGAGCAAACAGGAUUAGAUACCCCUGUAGUC
This 443-nucleotide ribosomal RNA is filed under the name uncultured bacterium. Its description in RNAcentral is "partial 16S ribosomal RNA". It matches the Rfam family "Bacterial small subunit ribosomal RNA", at positions 338 to 795 of the family's 1533-position model. The record is from RNAcentral.